GACGAACGCUGGCGGCGUGCCUAACACAUGCAAGUCGAGCGAAUGAAGUUCCCUCGGGAAUGGAUUUAGCGGCGGACGGGUGAGUAACACGUGGGCAACCUGCCUCAUAGAGGGGAAUAGCCUCCCGAAAGGGAGAUUAAUACCGCAUAAGAUUGUAGUACCGCAUGAUACAGCAAUUAAAGGAGCAAUCCGCUAUGAGAUGGGCCCGCGGCGCAUUAGCUAGUUGGUGAGGUAAUGGCUCACCAAGGCGACGAUGCGUAGCCGACCUGAGAGGGUGAUCGGCCACAUUGGGACUGAGACACGGCCCAGACUCCUACGGGAGGCAGCAGUGGGGAAUAUUGCACAAUGGGGGAAACCCUGAUGCAGCAACGCCGCGUGAGUGAUGACGGCCUUCGGGUUGUAAAGCUCUGUCUUCAGGGACGAUAAUGACGGUACCUGAGGAGGAAGCCACGGCUAACUACGUG
RNAcentral lists this ribosomal RNA (464 nucleotides) under uncultured bacterium. RNAcentral describes it as "partial 16S ribosomal RNA". It matches the Rfam family "Bacterial small subunit ribosomal RNA", at positions 28 to 507 of the family's 1533-position model. The record is from RNAcentral.